CAGCACCUCAAGUGGUCAGGAUGAUUAUUGGGCCUAAAGCAUCCGUAGCCUGUUCUGUAAGUUUCCGGUUAAAUCCAUUAGCCCAACUAAUGGGCUGCCGAAAAUACUGCAGAACUAGGGAGUGGGAGAGGUAGACGGUACUCGGUAGGAAGGGGUAAAAUCCUUUGAUCUAUUGAUGACCACCUGUGGCGAAGGCGGUCUACCAGAACACGUCCGACGGUGAGGGAUGAAAGCUGGGGGAGCAAACCGGAUUAGAUACCCGCGUAGUCC
This 270-nucleotide ribosomal RNA is filed under the name uncultured archaeon. Its description in RNAcentral is "partial 16S ribosomal RNA". It matches the Rfam family "Archaeal small subunit ribosomal RNA", at positions 477 to 747 of the family's 1478-position model. The record is from RNAcentral.